UGAGGUAACCCGUGUAAGAGAUAGAGAAAGUAAACCGAGCAUUAAAUGGCAGUUUUCGUGAAUCCACGCAGAACUUCUCUGGCCUCAAUUGCUAAAUGUGGUCCAUAACUCCCCCUCCACCCCGCCCCCUGUGUCAGUCCAACCGCCUAGGCGUGAGCUGCAAUCCUCUUUGGAAUGCACCUUGCCAACAGGUGUGGCACCUGGAGGAAAAGAGGACACAUCCCUACUAGGGUCGCUCAGUGUGGCAUUCUCUCUGCUGCAGAUAGUUCUGGAAGGCCAGUAGGUGUCAGGGCAGCAUUUGACCUCCUUCAGGUGCUUAGAACCAAGCGUCUAGAAACCUGAUCCCUCCGUUUCUCUCGGGAAGCCGCCACUAUUGACUGUAAGCUGUAUUGGAGAGACCUUUUGGCUGAGUCUGCUUAUGACCUAACAGUUAGUCACCAACUGAAGCAGGAUACAGAAUCAGUAAGAGAAAUGUGUCAGCUUUUAAACAACUCUGUAGUGUUAUGAGCCAAUGCGCUUCAGAAAUAAAAAUAAGCAUACUAACGAGGAAGGUGUAGAACCCCGGAAAUGUUGCUUCUCACAUUUUGGAACGCCAUGCACAUAUACAUGGCUACUUCAAUAGAACUACUACUGCUCGCUCUCCCUCGUUUCUACAACUUUCUUUUUUUAAUUUUAAAAAAAAUCAGUGAUUGUUAGGUUUAAACCUCGGGUUCUGCUAAAAUGACAUUGUUGGUCUCAUUACAGCCUCUAGUGGACGGUUAACAUCAGUUUCCCGUAAAGGCUCUGCCUGGUUUUGUUUUCGUUGACUUGCUUUAUCAAGGUGAAGGUUAAUAGUUCAGAACAAAACCGGGUAAUACACCACCACCCCCCUCCUUGGGCUUUGCCACUUCUGAAAGGAAUAGAAGCUUGUUGACUCAGCAUAGAAGAGGUAUGGGUUGUGCGGCAGGUAUUAUUAUUAUUGCCGGCCUGUGAAUAAACAGAGCUUCUGCUAUUCGUUUGAGUUUCAGACAGCUUUCAUAAAAAAAAAACCCUCAAAUUCAUCUAAAAUAUUUUUAUAACAGAAAAUAUUGGUUGCCAUGUUUUUGGCUUCUCUGAGAUGUUUUUAUUCCAACUCAUAAUCUGCAAACUGUCCAAUCCACCUCCACUCUAUUUUUAGACAUCUUACAUUUAGAGAAUUUUCAGGGGAAUAAAAGCUAAUAUUGUAAUUAUUACAUUGGCACACGCAGUUAAUUUAUGUUAUUUUAACAACCUUAAACAUAUUAAAACACAUAAUUCAGAUUAGAGUUAGUCAAUUAAUUUAAAUGUUCCCUCAAGGAAGCCAAAUAUGUAUAUUACCCAAACAGUAACAACAAUUAAUAAGAAUUAUGACAUUUGCUUUCUUAGCCAUUAAGAUUAAAGCCAUAAACUGUCAUUAAAAUCUAUAACUAUUUCUUACUGUGAGAAGAAAGAUUAUCUUACCAUGUAGUAAGACAGUCUUCUCAGAAACCUGACCUUAAGUACAUACUAGGAUAAACCAGCCUUUGAAAGGAAAGGAAAUUGGGGGAUGAGGUCUUUGGGGCCUUCCUCCUCCCUGUGUUUUAGAUGGCUUAAACAACAUGGAAAAUAAUUUUAAUCCCUUUUAUCUAUUUUGUGAAUAUCUACUUUUGAAGGUUUAAAAGGGGCCAACAAGUAUGUAUUAGAAUAUAUUAUUUUAUGUUACACACUUACUUUUUAACAGGCAGUACUCAGAUUAGCAGCUGGGGCACCAAUAUCUGAAAGAUUUUUUAGAUUUUCAGAAUUAAGGGUUCCCCCCACCAGGCCUGUGAAAUCAGAAUCUACCUUUCAGCCAGCCUCCCAAGGGAAUUCUGAGAAGAACAUUGGCUUAUACUACAGGGCUCUGUCUAGAUUAAUUUGGCCAUAGAUGCAUAACUUACUACAUCUAUUUUUCCCCUUUUUUAUUAAUUAAUUUUUAAAAUUAAGUUUUCUUAUUUUUAAAAAAAAUCACAUUAGUCAAAUCAUUGCAACCUCAGUCUCAACCAACUGGGGGUGAAAGAAAAAAAAAUGUACUGAACAGGUUCAGACUUUUUUUUUCCUUGUCAUUAAUCCCUGAACAAGACAGUGUAACCAUUAUUACAUUGCAUUGACAUUGUGUCCAAUAUUAUAAAUAAUCCAGAGAUGAUCUGUAGUCAUAGAAGGACAUGCUAAGGUUGCAUAUAAAUACUGUGUGAUUUUAUAUAAGAAACUUGAACAUCCCAGAAUUCAGGAAUUGAAGAGGGGUCCUGGAACCCAUCCUCCCAGCCAAGGGAUGACUAUAUAUGCUUUGUAGAAAUAGGACGGUAUUCCAAAAGGGCCCUGAUUCAUGCACAUGUACACAUCAUCAUUGCCAAAGGAAACUGCCAAGUAGCUUGCUGGGGUCUUGAACAGGAACAUUUUUUUUCACAGCAGCAGAGGGAGCACAAGAGUUCUCAAUGAAACCAGGCCCUUUUCAAAUCGCUACAGAUUUUAAAUUGUUGUGUAUGUUUUCAUGGAAGGUAGCAUGUUAUAUAGUUCAAAACAAAGCAAAAUAAAACAAAACAAACAAGCAAAUUCAAAUAGCUUACCAGUUUAUAACAACUAAAUAAUCGAACAGAUUGUAAGUUAAAUAAAAUAAAGAUAUUAAGAGUUUUAGGCUUGAAUUCUUAAAAGGACUUCAAAAGUCAUGUUUAGAAAAGAUACCUUGGCUUUUCUCUAGUCAAAAAUUAAAAAUAAGGCAACUCUAAGAAGAGUGUAUCUGGAAAUGGAGUCAGUCCCCCCAACACUGCAUUAGAUAAAUUAAACAGAAGCCAAACAUGGGGGUGAAAGUUUGUGCACUUUUUACAAACUUUAGGGCAUUUGUUCUUAAUGCUUACAGUAGUGAGAAUUUAUGUUUCAAUUGUAUUUAUGUAGCAUUUUACACUUUUUACAGCUCUUCCUUAUUGCAUCUUUAAAACUUCAUGGAGGUGGAGAAGACACAUAUUACAAUCCAGGCCUCAAAAAAAGUAUGGGUUCAGAUUCUACUUUCCUAACAUGGAGUCAUUGAGUUGUUCCAAUAAUCCCAAGGUGUUUGCAAGUGGAGGGAAUCAUAAAGGGUAAAGAUUCCCCAACAUGUUUCAUCUUUUUACCAUUGACAAAGCAUAUUAGGGGAUCUUUAGCCUCUAACAUGCUUUAAAAGUUCCUAUAUAGUAGAUAUUUAAUAACUAUUUCAAUGAGAUUAAGAAUAUAAAUGAUGUCUUAAAUUGCUUUUUUAUGUAUUUAUCAUUCCUUUAUCAUCAGUUACUUAUUGCAUAUCAACAGUAAGUAGGCCUGAGAUCACAACAUUAAAUAAGAUAUCUUAACUUGCAAGGAGUACAAAGAAGAAAAAAAAAUCUAAUCUUUUAAAAAAACGUUAAUUUUUACCAUGGUGAAACACAAAAAUCAAAGUUGAUUGAUGUAUUGCUUUUCAGGAUCGGAUCAAACAGAGUUCCAAAUACGAGAAUUAAAUACUAGCAUCAUCAAAAAUUUGGGAGGCAGCAGGCAAUGGUCUAACUCUUGAGCAAGACUUGACUUACAAGCUAAUGCUAAUAUUUCAAAUUUGUAAGACAAACAAAAUGUGAAGAUAAAAAUGUGCAUUUUUAUCUGAAUGCCCCCUCUAUCAAAAAACAAAUCACAUAAAUUACAGUGGCAAACAUUUAUUUAUUUUUAUCAUUUAAAAAUUGUUAAAACGAAUUUCCUCCCACACUUUGGGAUCCAUUUGCCAAGUUUCUGCCUGGAGCAAUUUGUUAUGGCAGUGUAAUGAAUCCCAGAAAGUUUGAAUUUUUAGUGGAAAGACUGGCAGAACUUUCACUCUUCUAUUAGAAGGAGGGUGUAAUCUAAUGUGUGUCAUUUAAAAACCUGAGCAAACCAUAGUGUGCUUGCAAAACAAAUACUCUUUCCUUAGACUGCACUUCCAAUAAACCUAGGGAGACCAGAAAAGUAAAACAAACUAAAAAGAAAAGUGAAAAACCAUUCACACAAUAGACUCUGAGCUCAGCUGGCCACACCCAGGCUCAAGUCCCUGGGCUCCACACACAUCCAGGCCCAAUACUGUCUCAUGCAUGUUUCUGAAUCAUCUUUCUUGACCCUCGACCAAACUGUAGAAGAAGGGCUUCCUGGUCAUAAAAAUGACAUCACCAAUAGUCAAGAGUGGAAAGAAAGUCUUUGCAUUCCAGCAUCUGCCAACAGCUUAUUUUGAUUUAACAGUACACACAUUCAGCUGUUUCAGACAACACCCUGUCAGCAAUGUAAAACAGAAACAGGUAGUUCAAUCUACAUCUGCACUGUCCAAUGGUCCAGUGUGGCCCUUGAACACCUGAAAUAUGGUUAGUCCAAAUUGAGAUGCACUGUAAAUAUGAAAUAUGCCUCAAAUUUUAAAGACUUGGAGAGACACAGAGACACAUACGUGUAUAUAUACACAUAAUAUCUCAAUUUUUAUAUUGAUUGUUGAAAUGAAACUAUUCAGCAUAUGUUAGAAUUAAUAAAACAUAUUGUUAAAAUUCAUCUUACCUGUUUCUUUGAACCUUUAUGAAUGUGGCUCCUAUAAAAUUUAACACCAUGCAUACGGAAUAAUUGUGUAUUUUUUUUUUCUUUUCAGGUGCUGGGGAUCAAACCCAGGGCCUCAUGGAUUCUAGGCAAAUACUCUACCACUGAGCUAUACCAUGAGUCCCUGUAUAUAUUUCUUUUCUUACGUUUUUAUUGGUGCAUUAUAAUUAUGCAUAAUCAUGAGAUUCAUUGUGCCAUAUUCAUACAUGUACAUAAUUUGAUCAAUCUCGUCCCAUUCUUCUGCUCUACUGAUUUCCCUUCUGCUAUUAUUUUUUUAAUCAGUGCCUUAUAAUUAUAUAUAAAAGUGGAAUUCAUUGUGGUAUGUUCAUGUAUAAUUCUAACGGACAGCACUGGUAUAGAUAAUGGGUCUGAGGAGACACAGGAAUUAGCUCUAAAUAUCCAUAGUUGAAGACUUUAGAAUCCUAGCAUGGCUCUCUGCAGUAGUGCAUAGAUAACUUAGUUAUUUUUUCUACUUUUCUGUGCACCAAUAACCUGUGUAAUGUGGUGCUUAUCUCCCCUUAUAACAAUCACUGAAGGUUCACUGUGGGUAAAUGCACAAUCUAUCCAUUGGGGGAUGGGAGAUGGGCUCAUAAAAAU
Molecule: long non-coding RNA, 5151 nt
Filed under: Marmota monax (woodchuck)
Lineage: Eukaryota; Metazoa; Chordata; Mammalia; Rodentia; Sciuridae
Source: RNAcentral